GGUGAUGGGGAAGAUGCCUUGCCGGGACGUCCCUGGGAUCCUCCCUUCGUACCAGUUCUCGUCCACCUGUCGAAGCAGCAUGAUCCUCUCACCCUGCAAGACACGGCAAGAUGAGGACGAGGCACUGGGAGAGUCGCACACUUGUCAAAGCCGGCAUGGUCAAGGGACUGGCAGCACUGGAACUUGAACCUUGUCGUCGGGCACCACAGACAGUACUCUCAGCUGCUCUAACAUUUCCCUACGACCCAGGAGGCAGCACCUUCCAAGACCCCAGGCUCACACAUUACAGGAAACAGGGGUUCUUCUAACAUUGUGAUAUGGAAUCAUGCCAAUAAAAUGCUAAACUGCA
Long non-coding RNA from Hippopotamus amphibius kiboko, 349 nucleotides. RefSeq lists it as uncharacterized. The record is from RefSeq and is a predicted model, not a curated record. NCBI's taxonomy places the organism in Eukaryota, Metazoa, Chordata, Mammalia, Artiodactyla, Hippopotamidae. The transcript is spliced from 3 exons.